Molecule: ribosomal RNA, 269 nt
Filed under: uncultured bacterium
Lineage: Bacteria
Description: partial 16S ribosomal RNA
Rfam family: Bacterial small subunit ribosomal RNA
Source: RNAcentral
UGAUGGCGACCGGCGCACGGGUGAGUAACACGUAUCCAACCUGCCCCAUACUCGGGGGAUAGCCUUUCGAAAGAAAGAUUAAUAUCCGAUAGCAUAGUUCUUCCGCAUGGUGGAACUAUUAAAGAAUUUCGGUCAUCGAUGGGGAUGCGUUCCAUUAGGUUGUUGGCGGGGUAACGGCCCACCAAGCCUUCGAUGGAUAGGGGUUCUGAGAGGAAGGUCCCCCACAUUGGAACUGAGACACGGUCCAAACUCCUACGGGAGGCAGCAUG